GAUGAAGAACGUAGCGAAAUGCGAUAAGUAGUGUGAAUUGCAGAAUUCAGUGAAUCAUCGAAUCUUUGAACGCACAUUGCGCCCCCUGGUAUUCCAUGGGGCAUGCCUGUUCGAGCGUCAUUUGUACCUUCAAGCUCUGCUUGGUGUUGGGUGUUUGUCUCGCCUCUGCGUGUAGACUCGCCUCAAAACAAUUGGCAGCCGGCGUAUUGAUUUCGGAGCGCAGUACAUCUCGCGCUUUGCACUCAUAACGACGACGUCCAAAAGUACAUUUUUACACUCUUGACCUCGGAUCAGGUAGGGAUACCCGCUGAACUUAAGCAUAUCAAUAAGCGGAGGA
This 337-nucleotide unclassified non-coding RNA is filed under the name soil metagenome. RNAcentral's name for it is "partial contains 5.8S ribosomal RNA, internal transcribed spacer 2, and large subunit ribosomal RNA". The stretch from base 1 to 120 matches the Rfam family "5.8S ribosomal RNA", at positions 35 to 154 of the family's 154-position model. The record is from RNAcentral.